UUUAUUUUGAUAAUAAUGUGAAAACAUCAACAACGAGGAGGGUGGCACGUUGCUGACAGAGAGUGGCCGGCGGGAACUUGUCCCUAGACUAGAAACACAAAGAUUAUGCCACGUAUAUAUCAGAAACAGGGAUUUGGACACGUGUCUCACAAACUCAAUCUAGAUAAGGCCUGCAACUACUUCAUUCUACUAUACUAUUGUGACAUCCACUCUUUUCUCUUCGUCCUUCUUUUAUGGCGGCACAAUUUGAGUUUUUCAUAUUUCACCACUCUUUUCCUUUUCUCUUUUCUG
RNAcentral lists this long non-coding RNA (291 nucleotides) under Vigna radiata. RNAcentral describes it as "long non-coding RNA (VRAD_LNC007504)". The record is from RNAcentral. Lineage: Eukaryota; Viridiplantae; Streptophyta; Magnoliopsida; Fabales; Fabaceae.